This 72-nucleotide transfer RNA is filed under the name Exutisphaerella laricina CBS 326.52. RNAcentral's name for it is "tRNA-Ala (AGC) (tRNA-Ala-AGC-1 1 to 3)". It matches the Rfam family "tRNA". From Rfam's summary of the family: Transfer RNA (tRNA) molecules are approximately 80 nucleotides in length. Their secondary structure includes four short double-helical elements and three loops (D, anti-codon, and T loops). Further hydrogen bonds mediate the characteristic L-shaped molecular structure. tRNAs have two regions of fundamental functional importance: the anti-codon, which is responsible for specific mRNA codon recognition, and the 3' end, to which the tRNAs corresponding amino acid is attached (by aminoacyl-tRNA synthetases). tRNAs cope with the degeneracy of the genetic code in two manners: having more than one tRNA (with a specific anti-codon) for a particular amino acid; and 'wobble' base-pairing, i.e. permitting non-standard base-pairing at the 3rd anti-codon position. The record is from RNAcentral. Lineage: Eukaryota; Fungi; Ascomycota; Dothideomycetes; Mycosphaerellales; Mycosphaerellaceae.
GGGCGCAUGGUUUAGUGGUAUAAUACCUCUUUAGCAUAGAGGUGGUCCGGCGUUCGAUUCGCCGUGCGUCCA